This 486-nucleotide ribosomal RNA is filed under the name uncultured bacterium. RNAcentral describes it as "partial 16S ribosomal RNA". It matches the Rfam family "Bacterial small subunit ribosomal RNA", at positions 30 to 507 of the family's 1533-position model. The record is from RNAcentral.
AUUGAACGCUGGCGGCAUGCCUUACACAUGCAAGUCGAACGGCAGCACGGGUGCUUGCACCUGGUGGCGAGUGGCGAACGGGUGAGUAAUACAUCGGAACAUGUCCUGUAGUGGGGGAUAGCCCGGCGAAAGCCGGAUUAAUACCGCAUACGAUCCACGGAUGAAAGCGGGGGACCUUCGGGCCUCGCGCUAUAGGGUUGGCCGAUGGCUGAUUAGCUAGUUGGUGGGGUAAAGGCCUACCAAGGCGACGAUCAGUAGCUGGUCUGAGAGGACGACCAGCCACACUGGGACUGAGACACGGCCCAGACUCCUACGGGAGGCAGCAGUGGGGAAUUUUGGACAAUGGGCGAAAGCCUGAUCCAGCAAUGCCGCGUGUGUGAAGAAGGCCUUCGGGUUGUAAAGCACUUUUGUCCGGAAAGAAAUCCUUGGCUCUAAUACAGUCGGGGGAUGACGGUACCGGAAGAAUAAGCACCGGCUAACCACGUG